Long non-coding RNA from Candoia aspera, 1024 nucleotides. RefSeq lists it as uncharacterized. The record is from RefSeq and is a predicted model, not a curated record. NCBI's taxonomy places the organism in Eukaryota, Metazoa, Chordata, Lepidosauria, Squamata, Candoiidae. The transcript is spliced from 3 exons.
UAGAGAACUAGUAGUCACUUAGAAAAGCGAGGGGGCGUCUUAGAUAUUUUACCUUUUCCUCUGAAUUACAUACAGUGAGUUCGUUGCUAUUGGGGGAGGGGAUGUUUGAGAGUAACCGCCUCGCUCGUUCCCACGAGGAGAAUCCAUUCCUUCAGUUCUGGCAAAAGGAGUUGUUACAUAUAUGCGAUGUUUGGAACAUGGAGUCUCAAAUUUGAGGAAACAAGAAAUUUCUCUUAGAGGAUAACCAGGUAACCUUUAAAAUAGUUUGUAAAAGUAGGAAAGAAUAAAAUAAGUGGUCCACAUGGGGGUAUAAUGACUUGAUUCAUUGCUAAGCUAGGCCACUAUGUUGAACAAACCGUACAUUUUAAUGCUGGUCUAUAAAGAUGGAUUCAUAUACUAGUCACCAAAAUCGAACUAUGUUAUGGCUGUAGUUUGUUAGCUGCAAACUAGGCCAGUGAAUUGCUGGCAAUUGUGUGGUUUUGGCAGCUAAAUAAAGCAGCACUGUGAGAACUUAUAAACUUGUCCUUCUGAAUGCAUAUUGUCAGGUUGUUCACGCAGAUACAAAAUGUUUUGUGUAAAUCGGCUUAAUUAUUAGGAUGUUGUAUAUGGUGUAUCACCCAUAGAAAACUAUUUGUAUCGUAUUUGCACAUACUGCUAUUGUUCUGAAUUUUAUGGCAAUCUCUUUAUAGCCUUUAGACAGAUCCCACAUAGGCAGUAGUUAAUUCUCUAAACUGUACUCUGCUGUUCCUUACCACCAAAAACUAAAGCAUAUCGCACUUAAAAAGCACCACCUGUGUGUUGACAUUAAAAAAUAAUUUAUAGAAGAAACAGUAUGAAAUGAAGUCUUAUGCUUUUCAAAAAUUGAUAACAGAUAAAACCUUUUUGUUCCUUGGGUAUGUUUUUAAAAGUUUGAACAUUCACGUUGUGGACUUUUCACCAACAUUUCAUUUUCCAUCUGUUUUAAAACUGUUCUUAAUUUUACCCCCUUGUAAUAGAAGGCAAUGUAUUUUCCUGAUUUGUGUUU